CGCUAAAAAUAACCUGGGCAAGGGGCUGCCUGAGGGAGAAUGGGGUCCCUCCACAGAGCCUGCCCCCGUCUCCAUGGCAACUGCCCCAAACCCGACUGCUGACGUCAUGCCGCAGCUGCCAGAGCCGGGAGGGAGGCGCGGUGCGGCCUGGGACCCCCCACCCCGGAACCGGGCGGAGGCGGCUGGGUGGCCUCACUUCCUGCCGGCCCCCUCCCUGGUCAGCUGGUCACAUUCCCGGGACUGCCGCGCACUGGAAGCCCUGUGGCCUCCUCAGGCUGGGCCGGGCAGAGGCGCUAGUCCGAGCUGCAGCAGCGAGGGGCCGCAGUGACUCAGCCGCGUCCUCCCCUCCUGCUUUUCCACCCGGGAAGGACCCAGCCCAGCGGCCUGUGUGCUCCCCCCACCCCCACCCGUUUUCAGGUAUCCCUCUCCAGCUGCUGACCCACAAGCCCCAGGACAGGGAGGGAGGGCUGAAGUGGAAGCUAAGUCUCCUUGUCUCUCUGGACUGUCUUGUACCUUACUCUCAAGUCUCAUCUCUCCCUCCAACCCACACAUCUACCCUCUAUGCCACAGAAGUGGACAGUACAGGGGCAAGAAUUCAGAUCUGAGUCUAAUUCCCACCUCUCUCCAAACCAGCUGUGUGACCUUCAGAAUAUUACUUAAUCUCUCUGGACCCGUUUUUGCAUCUGCCAGAUUGUCUGUCAGUAAAUCUCUUCAGAAGGUUUGCAGAGUCACCACACUAGCCUCCCAUUUCCAGUUACAGGGUCUGUUAUCCCACCGUGUGGGGGCGAUUCUCUUGGGCUUGGCGGUGCUAGAUUUGGACGAAAAGCCCGGACCAAGAUCGGGAUCGGCUACUUCGGCUCUGGCUCCAAAGCGGCUUAGGCCGGCCGGUGAGGCCAGGAAGAUUAGCUCAUCUCCGAGGCGGGCCUUCAUGCCCUCUCCCCAUUCCCAGCUCGGUCUCUCCUUCGGCAAGGGCAGCGGGGCUCCCAGAAAGCAUCUGCCAGGGCCCAAGCUGGCGCCAAGGGCCCACCCUCAGGCCUGGCCCACCCCUGAGCCCCGGGCACCGGCCGCCUGGGCCUUGCCGUGGGAAGGAAGGAGGC
This 1097-nucleotide long non-coding RNA is filed under the name Sus scrofa (pig). RNAcentral's name for it is "lncRNA (ENSSSCG00005004241.1)". The record is from RNAcentral. Lineage: Eukaryota; Metazoa; Chordata; Mammalia; Artiodactyla; Suidae.